UCUUGCGCUUGAGCAGCGGCAGCCCGAGCGCUGCCCAGUAGUAGCGCUAGCAGCAGCGCGUACAUCUUAUACCACCACAGGCUCCAAGGUAGGCGUCAGGUGCGACGCGGGGUUGUCAUGCCCUGUCUCUCCCCGGCUUCCUCCCACGCAUCUUAGCCCCAACUAAGCAAAAGAUGAUAUUAGGUGAGAACUUCCUUGAUGCGAUGUGUGUUGACUGGCCAGCUUUUGCGAGUAGACUCGGGCUUCGUUCGGCGAAUUACCAAUUCCCACCAAACCCUUGUUG
Molecule: long non-coding RNA, 283 nt
Filed under: Chlamydomonas reinhardtii
Lineage: Eukaryota; Viridiplantae; Chlorophyta; Chlorophyceae; Chlamydomonadales; Chlamydomonadaceae
Description: long non-coding RNA (CREI_LNC000114)
Source: RNAcentral